UACUUUAAAGCCAAGUGGCUGUGAGCGAGC
Molecule: non-coding RNA, 30 nt
Filed under: Mus musculus (house mouse)
Lineage: Eukaryota; Metazoa; Chordata; Mammalia; Rodentia; Muridae
Source: RNAcentral